GUGUGUGAAGAAGGCCUUCGGGUUGUAAAGCACUUUCAGUUGUGAGGAAAAGUUAGUAGUUAAUACCUGCUAGCCGUGACGUUAACAACAGAAGAAGCACCGGCUAACUCCGUGCCAGCAGCCGCGGUAAUACGGAGGGUGCGAGCGUUAAUCGGAAUUACUGGGCGUAAAGCGCACGCAGGCGGUUUGUUAAGCUAGAUGUGAAAGCCCCGGGCUCAACCUGGGAUGGUCAUUUAGAACUGGCAGACUAGAGUCUUGGAGAGGGGAGUGGAAUUCCAGGUGUAGCGGUGAAAUGCGUAGAUAUCUGGAGGAACAUCAGUGGCGAAGGCGACUCCCUGGCCAAAGACUGACGCUCAUGUGCGAAAGUGUGGGUAGCGAACAGGAUUAGAUACCCUGGUAGUCCACACCGUAAACGCUGUCUACUAGCUGUGUGUGCCUUUAAGACGUGCGUAGCGAAGCUAACGCGCUAAGUAGACCGCCUGGGGAGUACGGCCGCAAGGUUAAAACUCAAAUGAAUUGACGGGGGCCCGCACAAGCGGUGGAGCAUGUGGUUUAAUUCGAUGCAACGCGAAGAACCUUACCUACACUUGACAUGCUGAGAAGUUACUAGAGAUAGUUUCGUGCCUUCGGGAACUCAGACACAGGUGCUGCAUGGCUGUCGUCAGCUCGUGUCGUGAGAUGUUGGGUUAAGUCCCGCAACGAGCGCAACC
This 710-nucleotide ribosomal RNA is filed under the name Alteromonas sp. M132. RNAcentral's name for it is "bacterial SSU rRNA". It matches the Rfam family "Bacterial small subunit ribosomal RNA", at positions 401 to 1103 of the family's 1533-position model. Lineage: Bacteria; Pseudomonadati; Pseudomonadota; Gammaproteobacteria; Alteromonadales; Alteromonadaceae. The record is from RNAcentral.